GCCCUGGCAGUCAGAGGCGAUGAAGGACGUGCUAAUCUGCGAUAAGCGUCGGUAAGGUGAUAUGAACCGUUAUAACCGGCGAUUUCCGAAUGGGGAAACCCAGUGUGUUUCGACACACUAUCAUUAACUGAAUCCAUAGGUUAAUGAGGCGAACCGGGGGAACUGAAACAUCUAAGUACCCCGAGGAAAAGAAAUCAACCGAGAUUCCCCCAGUAGCGGCGAGCGAACGGGGAG
Molecule: ribosomal RNA, 234 nt
Filed under: Escherichia coli
Lineage: Bacteria; Pseudomonadati; Pseudomonadota; Gammaproteobacteria; Enterobacterales; Enterobacteriaceae
Description: partial 23S ribosomal RNA
Rfam family: Bacterial large subunit ribosomal RNA
Source: RNAcentral